CAGCCGCCGCGGGAAUACAGAGGGUGCGAGCGUUAAUCGGAUUUACUGGGAGUAAAGCGUGCGUAGGCGGCUUUUUAAGUCGGAUGUGAAAUCCCUGAGCUUAACUUAGGAAUUGCAUUCGAUACUGGGAAGCUAGAGUAUGGGAGAGGAUGGUAGAAUUCCAGGUGUAGCGGUGAAAUGCGUAGAGAUCUGGAGGAAUACCGAUGGCGAAGGCAGCCAUCUGGCCUAAUACUGACGCUGAGGUACGAAAGCAUGGGGAGCAAACAGGAUUAGAUACCCGAGUAGUCCCUGUCUCUUAUAC
RNAcentral lists this ribosomal RNA (301 nucleotides) under uncultured bacterium. RNAcentral's name for it is "partial 16S ribosomal RNA". It matches the Rfam family "Bacterial small subunit ribosomal RNA", at positions 509 to 807 of the family's 1533-position model. The record is from RNAcentral.